RNAcentral lists this unclassified non-coding RNA (1975 nucleotides) under uncultured fungus. RNAcentral's name for it is "sequence contains 18S rRNA gene, ITS1, 5.8S rRNA gene, ITS2, 28S rRNA gene". The stretch from base 792 to 1975 matches the Rfam family "Eukaryotic large subunit ribosomal RNA", at positions 1 to 961 of the family's 3401-position model. Lineage: Eukaryota; Fungi. The record is from RNAcentral.
GGUAGGAUCAUUAACAUUAACACGCGUAGUAUAACCCAAUACACGCGUAUGUCCUCCUAUUAUGUUCGUCACUAGUGAUUCAUCGUGUUAGCAGCCCACGGUGAACAGUUCCUAUGAGAACUAUACAUUGUCUAGUCUUGUCCUUAGUCAUUAGUAAUCAUUAUUACAACUCUUAACAACGGAUAUCUUGGUUCAUGCAUCGAUGACGAGCGCAGUGAAAUGUGAUACUUAGUGUGAAUUGCGGAAUAAAGUGAAUCAUUAAGACCUUGAACGCAUAUUGCACCCUUGAAUUUACUCGAGGGUACGUCGGUUUGAGUGCGACCUAAUAAAUAGACUAGUAAACUACUAUGUCUGAGUUGAGAUUGUAGCUAAAGGAUGCUAGAGCGCUACUUUCUUGAAAUAAUCAUAGAGGCGAAACGUACUAGCAAUGUGGGGAAUGCUUAUUAAGGAGGCUAGUAAUAGGUGAUCUAUUAGAUCGAUGAGAGGUAACACUCGAGUCUACUCGAACGAUCACUAGUAACUUGUGUCAUUAAAAAGCUUUUACGUGCGUCUUAGAGAGAGAAGUGAUCGUGAUCUGUCUUAGGACCGAUGAAAUUAACCUCGGUCUUCUUCUCUCGAGUAACAUUAAAGGGGAUGUGUAUCGUGAGGGCCAUGCCCAGCACUCAAUGGACUACUAGAGUCCUCUUUAAUACUUUUAUAUAAAGGGUAGUCAUUAAGGGUUACUGUUUAAAUAUAUCGAGCCCUUAGUGUCAUCCCUAGUCCCUAGUGUCUCCUAUGAAAAUUAUUAACAGUCGCCUCAAAUCAGACGGGAUUACUCGCUGAAUUUAAGCAUAUAAUUAAGCGAAGGAAAAGAAACCAACGGGGAUUCCCUUAGUAACGGCGAGUGAAGCGGGAAGAGCUCACGCUUAAAAUCUCGUUAGGGUAACGCCUAUAGAGAAUUGUAGUUUCGUAACCGGUAUUCACCGGGGAGGCUGUCGAGGCUUAAGUUCCCUGGAAAGGGACACCGUAGAAGGUGAGAGUCCUGUGAAGCCUUUAGACCUUAGUCUCUUCGAUCGUGUUACCGAUUUACAGAGUCGGAUUAUUUGAGAGUAUAGUCCUAAACGGGUGGUAAAUCCCAUCUAAAGCUAAAUACUAGCAUGAAACCGAUAGCGAACAAGUACCGUGAGGGAAAGAUGCAAAGUACUUUGGAGAGAGAGUUAAAUAGGCCUUGAAAUUGUUAAGAGGGAAGCGAUAGCGACCUUAAUAUAUUUAACGAGUAAUUCACCGAGAGAGGGCUCUCUCGUGUCGUGUAUCGAGAGCUACGGUCAACGUGGCCUCAAUGUAUGUGUGAGGGGGCUCUUUUAAGGGCAUUUUACUAGUUAAAGGGAUCAGUGUCUAUUAGAGACGAUAGUAAAACGGUGUUGGGGUUGGAAUGAUAGGGUGCGCCUUAUCAGGAGGCUUAGUACAACGAUACGUUCGUUCUGAUUGAGGGGUUUAUGUGAACUAUUACGGGUGCCAAGCGGGGGCUACUAGGGAUAGAAGGGGUCUUCGAUUAGCUAUACAGCACGCUGUAUAGUUGAACGGGGGUCUCCUCUAGUCUCUAGUCCCACUCACUCGUUACGACACGUGAUGUGCAUUAAUUUAAGGGCUUUAUCGACCCGUCUUGAAACACGGACCAAGGAGUGUAACACGAGUGCAAGUGUUAUAGCGAUAUAAACUAUUACGCGAAAUGAAAGUGAACCUUAAUGUGGGAAAGGGGCUUCAACGGUAAAACGUUGUCCCUAGCACCAUAGACCGAUCUCGAGUAAAUUUAUUUAGACGGAUUUGAGUAAGAGCACGCUUGUUACGACCCGAAAGAUAGUGAACUAUGCUUGUGUAGGGUGAAGCCAGGCGAAAGUCUGGUGGAGGCUCGUAGAGGUGCUGACGUGCAAAUCGCUCUCAGAAUAUGAGUAUAGCGGCGAAAGACUAAUCGAACUAUCUAGUAGCUGGUUCCUUC